Molecule: ribosomal RNA, 471 nt
Filed under: Peripatidae gen. 1 OYHL-2019 sp. OHL93
Lineage: Eukaryota; Metazoa; Onychophora; Udeonychophora; Euonychophora; Peripatidae
Description: partial small subunit ribosomal RNA
Source: RNAcentral
GCAGCAGCGGUUAUACGUUAUUAUAAAUUAAUCUAUACUGAAUAAAUUCAUUUAAUAUAUUUCUAUAAAAAAUGAAAUUUCUAAUAAAAAUAAUACAAAAAUCAUCCUACUAAAAGUCUAAAACCAGGAUUAGAUACCCUGCUAUUCUUUCCUUUAUAAUAAUUCAAAGAAAAAAAACAAAAUAAAUUUGACGGUAUUAACUUUUACAAAGGAAUUUGUUUCUUAAUCGACAAUCCACGAAUUACCUUACUUAGCAAUUAUUUGUAUACCACUGUAAAGAAAUUAUCUAAAAUAAAUUUCAAAAAAGGAAAAAACUGAAAAAUCAAGUCAUGGUGCAAUUUAGCUAAGAUGAAAUGAAUUACAUUUAUUUAUAUAAAAUAUGUAAGAUGAAAACUCCUAUAAAAAUAGAAUUUGUCAGUAAAAUUUUAUCAUCAUGACAAUUUGAAAACUAACAUUAAUAUGUACAUAUCG